AAAAGGAAAAAGGGGGAAUCCCUCUCUCAACAAUAGUGCAGGGGCGGUGUCACUUGUGCGUUACUACAUGUUGUUUAUAUUCUAUAAAUAAUAAUCUCUUCGGACGAAGCGCUUCGUAUAAUUGUGAUAAAACUUCACUUGGACAACAAUCUGUAUUUAGGAUAAUGUCAUAUUUUAAAAUUUAUGAAAAGCAAAUUAAUUGAUGAAAACAAUAUUGGAAACAAUGCAUUUAUAUAUGUUGCCAGACACUACCUGAUGUAAAAUAGCAAUUAUUAUCUACAGACAUGAACAGCAUCAUUGACAUCACUGAGAACACACUAUGAUGCCAAUAGUACCUCUCAUGCUCUGCUUUUCUUUAUGUUACAGUUAUCAAAAUAUUGUAAUAAAUAUAUUAUACUAUGUUUAACAAUUUUAA
Molecule: long non-coding RNA, 415 nt
Organism: Galleria mellonella (greater wax moth)
Lineage: Eukaryota; Metazoa; Arthropoda; Insecta; Lepidoptera; Pyralidae
Exons: 2
Source: RefSeq, a predicted model, not a curated record